UACGGAGGAUGCGAGCGUUAUCCGGAUUUAUUGGGUUUAAAGGGUGCGUAGGCGGACGCUUAAGUCAGCGGUAAAAUUGCGGGGCUCAACCUCGUCGAGCCGUUGAAACUGAGUGCCUUGAGUGGGCGAGAAGUACGCGGAAUGCGUGGUGUAGCGGUGGAAUGCAUAGAUAUCACGCAGAACUCCGAUUGCGAAGGCAGCGUACCGGCGCCCUACUGACGCUGAAGCACGAAGGCGUGGGUAUCGAACAGG
Molecule: ribosomal RNA, 252 nt
Filed under: uncultured bacterium
Lineage: Bacteria
Description: partial 16S ribosomal RNA
Rfam family: Bacterial small subunit ribosomal RNA
Source: RNAcentral